RNAcentral lists this small RNA (126 nucleotides) under Marmota monax (woodchuck). The record is from RNAcentral. Lineage: Eukaryota; Metazoa; Chordata; Mammalia; Rodentia; Sciuridae.
GCUGGGUGCAGUGGCAACACCUGUAAUCCUAGAGACUCAGGAGGCUGAGGCAGGAGGAUCACAAGUUUGAGGACAGCCUCAGCAACUUAUUGAGGCCCUAAGCAACUUAGUAAGGCCCUAUCUCUA